Molecule: ribosomal RNA, 789 nt
Filed under: uncultured bacterium
Lineage: Bacteria
Description: bacterial SSU rRNA
Rfam family: Bacterial small subunit ribosomal RNA
Source: RNAcentral
AGAGUUUGAUCAUGGCUCAGAAUAAACGUUGGCGGUGCGCCUAACACAUGCAAGUCGAGCGAGAAAGGCCUUCGGGUUGAGUACAGCGGCAAACGGGUGAGUAACGCGUGGGAAUCUACCCCCUAUGUGAAGAAUACCUUCGAGAAAUCGGAGUUAAUGCUGCAUACGUCCCUUCGGGGAGAAAGAUGGCCUCUUUGCUGUCGCUAGGGGAUGAGCCUGCGUACUAUUAGCUAGUUGGUAGGGUAAUGGCCUACCGAGGCGAUGAUGGUUAGCCGGCCUGAGAGGGUGAUCGGCCACAUUGGAACUGAGAUACGGUCCAGACUCCUACGGGAGGCAGCAGUGAGGAAUAUUGCGCAAUGGGCGAAAGCCUGACGCAGCGACACCGCGUGAAGGAUGAAGGCUUUCGGGUCGUAAACUUCUGUUAAGUGGGAAGAAAGAACUGGUCCUAAUACGGCCAGAGAAUGACGGUACCACUAGAGAAAGCACCGGCUAACUUCGUGCCAGCAGCCGCGGUAAGACGAGGGGUGCAAACGUUAUUCGGAAUGAUUGGGUGUAAAGGGUGCGUAGGCGGUAUGUUAAGUCAAUCGUUAAAUUUUUCAGCUUAACUGAAAGUCAGCGGUAGAAACUGGCGUACUUGAGGAUGGAAGAGAGAAGUAGAAUUCUCGGAGUAGCGGUAAAAUGCGUAGAUCUCGAGAGGAAUACCGAUGGCGAAGGCAGCUUCUUGGUCCAUAUCUGACGCUGAGGCACGAAAGCGUGGGGAGCAAACAGGAUUAGAUACCCCGGUAGUCC